AUGAACGCGGCCGAGGAUGCCCGCCGCCGUACCACGCGCACGCGCACGCGCCUCCAUCCACAUACCCACGCGAGUGAGGCGGGCGAAGCAGUGGCCCGCCGCCGCAGCACGUGCCUCCAUCCCCAUCCCCAGAUCCAGGCCAGUCACGACGGCGACGGAGUGGCCCGCCGCCGCAGCCCGCGCCUCCAUCCCCAGGCCCACGCGAUCGAGGAGGGCCAAGGAGUGGCUCUCCGGCGCAGCACGCGCCUCCGUCCCCAUGUCCACGCGGGUGAGGAGGCAUCCGGAGUUACCCGCCGCAGUCGCCGUCGUGGCCGCCGCGGAAGCUCGCCGGCGGGGCUGUCCUCGCCUCUUGAGGACGACGAUCUCCUGUGGGAGAUCCUCCUCCGCCUCCCGCCGGAGCCCUCCUCCCUGCUCCGUGCCUCCGCCGUCUGCAAGCGCUGGCGAUGCGCGGCCACCGACCCCAGGUUCCAACGCCGAUUCUGCCAACACCACCGGAAGCCGCCCCUCCUCGGCUUCUUCGAGCACAGCGUCGAUGGUAUCGUCUUCAAACCUGUCCUGGACCCUCCCGACUAUAUCCCUCCUCAGCGCUUCGACGUAAGACUCCACGGCAUUGACAGUGGCCGUGGCACGGGGGUCAAACUGCUGGGGUGCCGCCAUGGUCGCCUCCUCCUCAUGCAUUGGCAACAGGCAGAGCUUAUUGUAAUUGCUCCCAUCACCGGCAAGAAGUUCUGCCUGACCGUUCCGUCCAAGUUAAGUUAA
This 759-nucleotide ribosomal RNA is filed under the name Triticum aestivum (bread wheat). RNAcentral describes it as "partial small subunit ribosomal RNA". Lineage: Eukaryota; Viridiplantae; Streptophyta; Magnoliopsida; Poales; Poaceae. The record is from RNAcentral.